AGCGAACGCUGGCGGCAGGCUUAACACAUGCAAGUCGAGCGGGCGUAGCAAUACGUCAGCGGCAGACGGGUGAGUAACGCGUGGGAACAUACCCUUUUGGUUCGGAACAACACAGGGAAACUUGUGCUAAUACCGGAUAAGCCCUUACGGGGAAAGAUUUAUCGCCGAAAGAUUGGCCCGCGUCUGAUUAGCUAGUUGGUGAGGUAACGGCUCACCAAGGCGACGAUCAGUAGCUGGCUGAGAGGAUGAUCAGCCACAUUGGGACUGAGACACGGCCCAAACUCCUACGGGAGGCAGCAGUGGGGAAUAUUGGACAAUGGGCGAAAGCCUGAUCCAGCCAUGCCGCGUGAGUGAUGAAGGCCCUAGGGUUGUAAGCUCUUUUGUGCGGGAAGAUAAUGACGGUA
Molecule: ribosomal RNA, 404 nt
Filed under: uncultured bacterium
Lineage: Bacteria
Description: bacterial SSU rRNA
Rfam family: Bacterial small subunit ribosomal RNA
Source: RNAcentral